CCUACGGGUGGCAGCAGUGAGGAAUAUUGGUCAAUGGACGAGAGUCUGAACCAGCCAAGUAGCGUGAAGGAUGACUGCCCUAUGGGCUGUAAACUUCUUUCAUAUGGGAAUAAAAUGUUCCAUGUGCGGGAUUUUGUAUGUACCAUACGAAUAAGGAUCGGCCAACUCCGUGCCAGCAGCCGCGGUAAUACGGAGGAUCCGAGCGUUAUCCGGAUUUAUUGGGUUUAAAGGGAGCGUAGGUGGGUUGUCAAUUCAGUGGUGAUAGUUCGCGGCUCAACCGUAAGAUUGCAGUUGAAACUGGCAGUCUUGAGUGCAGUAGAGGUGAGCGGAAUUCGUGGUGUAGCGGUGAAAUGCUUAGAUAUCACGAAGAACUCCGAUUGCGAAGGCAGCUCACUGGACUGCAACUGACACUGAGGCUCGAAAGUGUGGGUAUCAAACAGGAUUAGAUACCCCUGUAGUC
RNAcentral lists this ribosomal RNA (460 nucleotides) under uncultured bacterium. RNAcentral describes it as "partial 16S ribosomal RNA". It matches the Rfam family "Bacterial small subunit ribosomal RNA", at positions 338 to 795 of the family's 1533-position model. The record is from RNAcentral.